RNAcentral lists this ribosomal RNA (738 nucleotides) under Providencia rettgeri. RNAcentral describes it as "partial 23S ribosomal RNA". It matches the Rfam family "Bacterial large subunit ribosomal RNA", at positions 157 to 824 of the family's 2925-position model. The record is from RNAcentral. Lineage: Bacteria; Pseudomonadati; Pseudomonadota; Gammaproteobacteria; Enterobacterales; Morganellaceae.
GAUGAAUACAUAGUCAAACGAAGCGAACCGGGGGAACUGAAACAUCUCAGUACCCCGAGGAAAAGAAAUCAACCGAGAUUCCCCUAGUAGCGGCGAGCGAACGGGGAGCAGCCCAGAGUCUUAAUCAACAUUAGCAUCAGGAGAACGGUCUGGAAAGGCCGGCAGUAAAGGGUGAUAGCCCCGUAUCCGAAGGUGUUAGUGUUGUGAACUCGACGAGUAGGGCGGGACACGUGUUAUCCUGUCUGAAUAUGGGGGGACCAUCCUCCAAGGCUAAAUACUCCUGAUUGACCGAUAGUGAACCAGUACCGUGAGGGAAAGGCGAAAAGAACCCCGGCGAGGGGAGUGAAAUAGAACCUGAAACCGUGUACGUACAAGCAGUGGGAGCCCCACCACCAAAGCAUUUUCUGGUGUUGAGGACAACUUUGAAGUGACAUUCAACACGCGUUGGCGGAGCGUUUUUUGCGACGCCCAACACACAAAACAAGCAGUGAAUGUGCUUUGGGGUGGGGUGACUGCGUACCUUUUGUAUAAUGGGUCAGCGACUUAUAUUCUGUAGCAAGGUUAACCGUAUAGGGGAGCCGUAGGGAAACCGAGUCUUAACUGGGCGAAUGAGUUGCAGGGUAUAGACCCGAAACCCGGUGAUCUAGCCAUGGGCAGGUUGAAGGUUGGGUAACACUAACUGGAGGACCGAACCGACUAAUGUUGAAAAAUUAGCGGAUGACUUGUGGCUGGGGGUGA